This 21-nucleotide non-coding RNA is filed under the name Caenorhabditis elegans. The record is from RNAcentral. Lineage: Eukaryota; Metazoa; Nematoda; Chromadorea; Rhabditida; Rhabditidae.
UUUUUAUUCGAGGUUUCAGAC